This 1499-nucleotide ribosomal RNA is filed under the name uncultured bacterium. Its description in RNAcentral is "bacterial SSU rRNA". It matches the Rfam family "Bacterial small subunit ribosomal RNA". The record is from RNAcentral.
UGGUUCGAUUCUGGCUCAGGAUGAACACUGGCGGCAUGCCUAAUACAUGCAAGUCGAACGGAGUGAAGCCUUCGGGUUUCAUUCAGUGGCGAACGGGUGAGUAAUACGCAGGGAACCUGGCCAUGGCAGGGGGAUACACUCUGGAAACGGAGCAUAAGACCCCAUAGGCAGUAAGGCGGCAUCGCCUUACUGUUAAAGAAAGCUGAAAGGCUUUGGCGAUGGAUGGACCUGCGGUGCAUUAGCUUGUUGGUGAGGCAACGGCUUACCAAGGCGAUGAUGCAUAGCCGGCCUGAGAGGGCGGACGGCCACACUGGGACUGAGACACGGCCCAGACUCCUGCGGGAGGCAGCAGUAGGGAAUUUUCGUCAAUGGGCGCAAGCCUGAACGAGCAAUGCCGCGUGAGUGAGGAAGGUCUUCGGACUGUAAAGCUCUGUUGCCGGGGAAAAAGGGGAAAUGCAGGAAAUGGCAUUUCAUGGAUGGUACCCGGCCAGAAAGCCACGGCUAACUACGUGCCAGCAGCCGCGGUAAUACGUAGGUGGCGAGCGUUAUCCGGAAUGAUUGGGCGUAAAGGGUGCGCAGGCGGUCUGUUAAGUCUGAAGGCAAAGGGAUGAGCUCAACUCAUUUAUGAUUCAGAAACUGGCAGACUUGAGGACAGGAGAGGGCGGUGGAACUCCAUGUGUAGCGGUAAAAUGCGCAGAGAUAUGGAAGAACACCAGUGGCGAAGGCGGCCGCCUGGCCUGUGACUGACGCUGAGGCACGAAAGCGUGGGGAGCAAAUAGGAUUAGAUACCCUAGUAGUCCACGCCGUAAACGAUGAGGAGCAGGUGUUGGGAGUGAAAUCUCAGUGCCGAAGCCAACGCAGUGACUCCUCCGCCUGGGGAGUAUGCACGCAAGUGUGAAACUCAAAGGAAUUGACGGGGGCCCGCACAAGCGGUGGAGUAUGUGGUUUAAUUCGAAGCAACGCGAAGAACCUUACCAGGUUUUGACAUCGGAUGCGAAGGCGCAGAGAUGCGCUGGAGGCUAUCAUCCAGACAGGUGGUGCAUGGUUGUCGUCAGCUCGUGUCGUGAGAUGUUCAGUUAAGUCUGGCAACGAGCGCAACCCCCGUGGUAUGUUACUAACGCAUUUGGGCGAGGACUCAUAUCAGACUGCCGGUGACAAACCGGAGGAAGGCGGGGAUGACGUCAAAUCAUCAUGCCCCUUAUGACCUGGGCUACACACGUACUACAAUGGCGUCUACAGAGGGAAGCGACCCUGAGAAGGGAAGCGAAACCGGAAAAGGGCGUCCCAGUUCGGAUUGAAGUCUGCAACCCGACUUCAUGAAGAUGGAAUCGCUAGUAAUCGCGGAUCAGCAUGCCGCGGUGAAUACGUUCCCGGGCCUUGUACACACCGCCCGUCAAACCAUGGAAGCCGGCAACGCCCGAAGCCGGUGGCAUAACCUUUUAGGAGUGAGCCGUCGAAGGCGGGGCCGAUGACUGGGGUUAAGUCGUAACAAGGUACCC